Molecule: ribosomal RNA, 253 nt
Filed under: uncultured bacterium
Lineage: Bacteria
Description: partial 16S ribosomal RNA
Rfam family: Bacterial small subunit ribosomal RNA
Source: RNAcentral
UACAGAGGUGGCAAGCGUUGUUCGGAAUCAUUGGGCGUAAAGCGCGUGUAGGCGGUUUCUUAAGUCUGAUGUGAAAGCCCUGGGCUCAACCCAGGAAGUGCAUUGGAUACUGGGAGACUUGAAUACGGGAGAGGGUAGUGGAAUUCCUAGUGUAGGAGUGAAAUGCGCAGAUAUCAGGAGGAACACCGGUGGCGAAGGCGGCGACCUGGGUAGAUACUGACGCUGAGGUGCGAAAGCGUGGGGAGCAAACAGG